AUUGAACGCUGGCGGCAGGCCUAACACAUGCAAGUCGAGCGGAUGCAGGGAGCUUGCUCCUGGAUUCAGCGGCGGACGGGUGAGUAAUGCCUAGGAAUCUGCCUGGUAGUGGGGGAUAACGUCCGGAAACGGGCGCUAAUACCGCAUACGUCCUGAGGGAGAAAGUGGGGGAUCUUCGGACCUCUCGCUCUCAGAUGAUCCUAGGUCGGAUUAGCUAGUUGGUGGGGUAAAGGCCUACCAAGGCGACGAUCCGUAGCUGGUCUGAGAGGAUGAUCAGUCACACUGGAACUGAGACACGGUCCAGACUCCUACGGGAGGCAGCAGUGGGGAAUAUUGGACAAUGGGCGAAAGCCUGAUCCAGCCAUGCCGCGUGUGUGAAGAAGGUCUUCGGAUUGUAAAGCACUUUAAGUUGGGAGGAAGGGCAGUAAGUUAAUACCGUGCUGUUUUGACGUUACCAACAGAAUAAGCACCGGCUAACUUCGUG
RNAcentral lists this ribosomal RNA (484 nucleotides) under uncultured bacterium. RNAcentral's name for it is "partial 16S ribosomal RNA". It matches the Rfam family "Bacterial small subunit ribosomal RNA", at positions 30 to 507 of the family's 1533-position model. The record is from RNAcentral.